UACGAGGGGGGCGAGCGUUGUUCGGAAUUAUUGGGCGUAAAGGGUGCGUAGGCGGUUUGGUAAGUCUUAUGUGAAAUCUAUGGGCUCAACUCAUAGACUGCAUGAGAAACUGCCGGGCUUGAGUAUGGGAGAGGUGAGUGGAAUUCCUGGUGUAGCGGUGAAAUGCGUAGAUAUCAGGAGGAACACCUGUGGCGAAAGCGGCUCACUGGACCAUAACUGACGCUGAGGCGCGAAAGCUAGGGGAGCAAACAGG
This 253-nucleotide ribosomal RNA is filed under the name uncultured bacterium. RNAcentral's name for it is "partial 16S ribosomal RNA". It matches the Rfam family "Bacterial small subunit ribosomal RNA", at positions 524 to 776 of the family's 1533-position model. The record is from RNAcentral.